Molecule: ribosomal RNA, 253 nt
Filed under: uncultured bacterium
Lineage: Bacteria
Description: partial 16S ribosomal RNA
Rfam family: Bacterial small subunit ribosomal RNA
Source: RNAcentral
UACAGAGGGUGCGAGCGUUAAUCGGAAUUACUGGGCGUAAAGCGUGCGCAGGCGGCUUUGCAAGACAGAUGUGAAAUCUCCGGGCUCAACCUGGGAACUGCAUUUGUGACUGCAAGGCUAGAGUACGGUAGAGGGGGAUGGAAUUCCGCGUGUAGCAGUGAAAUGCGUAGAUAUGCGGAGGAACACCGAUGGCGAAGGCAAUCCCCUGGACCUGUACUGACGCUGAGGCACGAAAGCGUGGGUAGCAAACAGG